RNAcentral lists this ribosomal RNA (693 nucleotides) under Bordetella bronchiseptica. Its description in RNAcentral is "bacterial SSU rRNA". It matches the Rfam family "Bacterial small subunit ribosomal RNA", at positions 45 to 738 of the family's 1533-position model. Lineage: Bacteria; Pseudomonadati; Pseudomonadota; Betaproteobacteria; Burkholderiales; Alcaligenaceae. The record is from RNAcentral.
GACUUUACACAUGCAGUCGGACGGCAGCACGGGCUUCGGCCUGGUGGCGAGUGGCGAACGGGUGAGUAAUGUAUCGGAACGUGCCCAGUAGCGGGGGAUAACUACGCGAAAGCGUGGCUAAUACCGCAUACGCCCUACGGGGGAAAGCGGGGGACCUUCGGGCCUCGCACUAUUGGAGCGGCCGAUAUCGGAUUAGCUAGUUGGUGGGGUAACGGCCUACCAAGGCGACGAUCCGUAGCUGGUUUGAGAGGACGACCAGCCACACUGGGACUGAGACACGGCCCAGACUCCUACGGGAGGCAGCAGUGGGGAAUUUUGGACAAUGGGGGCAACCCUGAUCCAGCCAUCCCGCGUGUGCGAUGAAGGCCUUCGGGUUGUAAAGCACUUUUGGCAGGAAAGAAACGGCACGGGCUAAUAUCCUGUGCAACUGACGGUACCUGCAGAAUAAGCACCGGCUAACUACGUGCCAGCAGCCGCGGUAAUACGUAGGGUGCAAGCGUUAAUCGGAAUUACUGGGCGUAAAGCGUGCGCAGGCGGUUCGGAAAGAAAGAUGUGAAAUCCCAGGCUUACCUUGGAACUGCAUUUUUACUACCGGGCUAGAGUGUGUCAGAGGGAGUGGAAUUCCGCGUGUAGCAGUGAAAUGCGUAGAUAUGCGGAGGAACACCGAUGGCGAAGGCAGCCUCCUGGGAUAAC